UACGGAGGGUGCAAGCGUUAUCCGGAAUCACUGGGUUUAAAGGGUGCGUAGGCGGUCUUAUAAGUCAAUGGUGAAAGACGGCAGCUUAACUGUCGCAGUGCCAUUGAUACUGUAGGAAUUGAAUAAGGAUGAGGUUGGCGGAAUGUGACAUGUAGCGGUGAAAUGCAUAGAUAUGUCAUAGAACACCAAUUGCGAAGGCAGCUGACUGGACCUUUAUUGACGCUGAGGCACGAAAGCGUGGGGAUCAAACAGC
RNAcentral lists this ribosomal RNA (253 nucleotides) under uncultured bacterium. Its description in RNAcentral is "partial 16S ribosomal RNA". It matches the Rfam family "Bacterial small subunit ribosomal RNA", at positions 524 to 776 of the family's 1533-position model. The record is from RNAcentral.